Molecule: ribosomal RNA, 529 nt
Filed under: uncultured bacterium
Lineage: Bacteria
Description: partial 16S ribosomal RNA
Rfam family: Bacterial small subunit ribosomal RNA
Source: RNAcentral
CUCCUACGGGAGUCAGCAGUGAGGNAUNUUGGUCAAUGGGCGGAANCNUGAACCANCCACGCCGCGUGCGGGAAGGAGGCCCUAUGGNCUGUGAACCGCUUUUGCCUGGGGGCAAUAAGGGCGUCGCGCACGUCCGAUGAGAGUNCCAGGNGAAUAACCAUCGGNUAACUCCGUGCCAGCANCCGCGGUAAUACGGGGGAUNCGAGCGUUAUCCGNAUUCAUUGGGUUUAAAGGGUGCGUAGACUGUGCGUCAAGUCGGGGGUGAAAUUCCGGUGCUCAACACCGGGGCUGCCCUUGAUACUGUCGCGNUGGAGUGCGGAUGCCGCCGGAGGAAUGAGUGGUGUAGCGGUGAAAUNCUUAGAUAUCACUCAGAACNCCGAUUGCGAAGGCAUCUGGNGAAUCCGUAACUGACNCUGAGGCACGAAAGCGUGGGGAUAGAACAGGAUUAGAUCCCCAUGGUAUUCCACGCCUGUAUAACGAUGAUGGCUAACCGACCGGCUGUUCGGGUUGAUNGAGACCUGAGCGGCCA